RNAcentral lists this ribosomal RNA (425 nucleotides) under uncultured bacterium. RNAcentral describes it as "partial 16S ribosomal RNA". It matches the Rfam family "Bacterial small subunit ribosomal RNA", at positions 354 to 796 of the family's 1533-position model. The record is from RNAcentral.
GUGGGGAAUAUUGGACAAUGGGCGCAAGCCUGAUCCAGCCAUGCCGCGUGAGUGAUGAAGGCCCUAGGGUUGUAAAGCUCUUUCACCGGAGAAGAUAAUGACGGUAUCCGGAGAAGAAGCCCCGGCUAACUUCGUGCCAGCAGCCGCGGUAAUACGAAGGGGGCUAGCGUUGUUCGGAAUUACUGGGCGUAAAGCGCACGUAGGCGGAUAUUUAAGUCAGGGGUGAAAUCCCGGAGCUCAACUCCGGAACUGCCUUUGAUACUGGGUAUCUCGAGUAUGGAAGAGGUAAGUGGAAUUCCGAGUGUAGAGGUGAAAUUCGUAGAUAUUCGGAGGAACACCAGUGGCGAAGGCGGCUUACUGGUCCAUUACUGACGCUGAGGUGCGAAAGCGUGGGGAGCAAACAGGAUUAGAUACCCCAGUAGUCC